UGCUUUUCUACUGAACACACGAGUUGAUUUCCUCACUAUCACUGUGUCUGAACAGGAACGAUGAUCUCACUCUUUGUGGCGCUUUACUCUCUGCUUUGUCUCUGCACAGCUGUAAAAACAUCUGACAUCAAGGAGCUUCACGUGAGAACAGUAAAGAGUGGAGAAGAUGUAACUAUAGCGUGUGAUCUCAGUAUGAUCACAGACAAAAGUAAAGGAGUCUGGUACAGACAGAGUUUUGGAAAAGUGCCUCAGUUUUUUGCAAAACGUUACAAAAGUAUUUCAAAAUACACUUUUGAUACAGGAUUUAAUGAUAAUCGCUUCAGUUUUACUGUAAAUGAGCAUCAGUUUGAUCUCAACAUUACGAACCUGAGAGAAGAUGAUGGAGGAGAAUAUUUCUGUGGAGAAAUGGAGGAACUACAAUAAAGUUCACAUCUGGAGCACGUCUGCAAUUUGAAGGAAACACCACCACAGAUUGUGUUACACACCAGGAUUCAAAUAGCAAAGAGGAAAAACGAGAUAAUUGGAUGAUUUUUGCCUUAGUGACCUUCAGUAUAAUAUCUGUUAUUGUAAUGGUGGUACUGGUUGGACUUUUAUUAAAAAAUCUUAGAAAAGGUGCUUCAUCACGAAAGCCUGAAAUCAGCAGCAAUCAGGCUGAUGAUGAAGAUGUCUUGAACUAUGCAGCUGUGAGUUUUGCUAAGAAACCUUCAUCCUCCAGAACAUCCAGAGACCAGAGACAUGAAGACGUUUAUGCACAAGUUCAAAUCAAAUAGAUCCAAAGAAAUGACUU
Molecule: long non-coding RNA, 787 nt
Organism: Silurus meridionalis
Lineage: Eukaryota; Metazoa; Chordata; Actinopteri; Siluriformes; Siluridae
Exons: 6
Source: RefSeq, a predicted model, not a curated record